CUAGGAAGAAGGAUGAUUGAUCUGUACCGUUUGGUAUGGAUAGGAAAGUCCAGACAGCAUAAAGCAGGGUGGUCGAUGUAAAUCGACAGCCGCAAGGCCUAGUUAGAGCAACAGUGACGAACCGAGGUAAAGCUCGGGUGAAACGUGGCAAUCCUCCCCGCUGCAAUCCUAGAACCAACAGAGCUGCUUGCUUAAUUGUUGAAAUCAGGAGCGUUAGAUAAAUGAUCGUCAAGUGGAUAGAUCCAGAUAUAAUCCACUGAACAGAAUCUGGCUUAUUCUCUUCCUAGGCAA
Molecule: RNase P RNA, 291 nt
Filed under: bacterium
Lineage: Bacteria
Description: RNase P RNA component class A
Rfam family: Bacterial RNase P class A
About the family: Ribonuclease P (RNase P) is a ubiquitous endoribonuclease, found in archaea, bacteria and eukarya as well as chloroplasts and mitochondria. Its best characterised activity is the generation of mature 5'-ends of tRNAs by cleaving the 5'-leader elements of precursor-tRNAs.
Source: RNAcentral